This 131-nucleotide small RNA is filed under the name Salmonella enterica subsp. enterica. RNAcentral's name for it is "RtT sRNA". It matches the Rfam family "RtT RNA". From Rfam's summary of the family: This family represents a bacterial cis-regulatory element known as RtT RNA. The exact function of RtT is unknown although it is thought that it may be involved in changing the cellular response in relation to amino acid starvation. Lineage: Bacteria; Pseudomonadati; Pseudomonadota; Gammaproteobacteria; Enterobacterales; Enterobacteriaceae. The record is from RNAcentral.
AUAAUUCUGCAUGUGGGAAGGAUGAAAGCUUCGACUGAGUUCGAUUCGAGCGCAGCGAGAAGAGCGUUACUGCGUGCAACGACCCGAAGAGCGGCGCGCGCAGCGCUGGUAAUCCCCUUCCCCCACCACCA